This 471-nucleotide ribosomal RNA is filed under the name uncultured bacterium. RNAcentral describes it as "bacterial SSU rRNA". It matches the Rfam family "Bacterial small subunit ribosomal RNA", at positions 15 to 518 of the family's 1533-position model. The record is from RNAcentral.
GAUCAUGGCUCAGGAUUAACGCUGGCGGCAUGCCUAAUACAUGCAAGUCGAAUGAGAAGCUUGCUUCUCAUGGCGAACGGGUGAGUAACACGUAGGUAACCUGCCUUACACUCGAGGAUAACCGUUGGAAACGACGGAUAAUACUGGAUAGGACAGAGAUUCGCAUGAGACUCUGUUUAAAAAGCAAUGGUGUAUGAGGGGCCUGCGGUGCAUUAGCUAGUUGGUGAGGUAACGGCUCACCAAGGCGAUGAUGCAUAGCUGGACUGAGAGGUUGAACAGCCACAAUGGGACUGAGAACGGCCCAUACUCCUACGGGAGGCAGCAGUAGGGAAUUUUCGGCAAUGGGGGAAACCCUGACCGAGCAAUGCCGCGUGAACGAUGAAGUAUUUCGGUAUGUAAAGUUCUUUUAUUAGGAAAGAUAGUGACGGUACCUAAUGAAUAAGCUCCGGCUAACUACGUGCCAGCCGCAGC